GCGCGGAGCGAGGGGAGGCAUUCUGCGCCCGUCACGGGAAGGCGAGGCGGAGGAGAGGAAAGAGAGGAAAAAGCGAGUAGCCAGAGCCCCCGGACCCCGACAAUCGGACCCCCGCGUCAGGACCAGAUUGGAGGCGCUGGCCCUGCGCAGACACACCGGCAGUGUGCUAGACCGGAGAGGGGGGUCAGACUGCUCACCGCGUGGAGAUGCCGAAGGUCACGUCCGGAGGGGCGCGCGGUCUCC
Long non-coding RNA from Lepisosteus oculatus (spotted gar), 243 nucleotides. RefSeq lists it as uncharacterized. The record is from RefSeq and is a predicted model, not a curated record. NCBI's taxonomy places the organism in Eukaryota, Metazoa, Chordata, Actinopteri, Semionotiformes, Lepisosteidae.